UAAACUGACGCCUGGUGGUUUGGGUAAAUAGCUGUUAACUAUUUUUUGUGGGAUCAAGGCCCACCGGUUUUA
Molecule: transfer RNA, 72 nt
Filed under: Phrynocephalus helioscopus (sunwatcher toadhead agama)
Lineage: Eukaryota; Metazoa; Chordata; Lepidosauria; Squamata; Agamidae
Description: tRNA-Asn
Source: RNAcentral